This is a long non-coding RNA of Hypanus sabinus (Atlantic stingray), 7089 nucleotides long. RefSeq lists it as uncharacterized. Lineage: Eukaryota; Metazoa; Chordata; Chondrichthyes; Myliobatiformes; Dasyatidae. The transcript has 8 exons. The record is from RefSeq and is a predicted model, not a curated record.
UCUGCUGCCUCUGGGCAGACAUUAAUUUUCCUAUGGGAAUCUCUCUUUGUAUCUAGGAGUUGAAAGAAAAAGUGUAACACUGAGGAAACUUUGUGUCAGCCUGGCUCUUUUGCAGAUAUUGUGUUCAUUUUGUUGGGACCUUUCUAUGUCCAGCUGUUAACGUAUCGGCUCUUAGUUCAAUUUCAGUUUAUUGUCAUUCAGCAAUACACAUGUAUACUGUCAAAGGAAACAAUAUUCUUAUGGACCAAGGUGCACAACACAGUACAUAUAACUCUCACACAUAACACAUAAAGUAAUAUCAGCUCAAAUAAAUGAAUAAAUAAUAAGACACGUACAAGUUAAAAUGUAUGAUGCUACUGGCACUUCAUACGUGAUGAAACAUGGGUGGUGGCAGGUAGUUCAGUCAUCUUACAACUUGGGGGAAAAAGUUGUUUUCAUAAGACCAUAAGAUAUAGGAACAGAAGUAGGCCAUUCGGCCCAUUGAGUCUGCUCCACCAUUCAAUCAUGGCUGAUCCAAUUCAUCCAGUCGUCCCCACUCCCUUACUUUCUCUCCAUACCUUCCGAUGCUUUGGCUAAUCAAGAACCUAUCUACCUCUGCCUUAAAUGCACUCAAUGACUUGGCUUCCACAGCUGCUUGUGACAACAAAUUCCACAGAUUUACCACCCACUGACUUAAGUCAUGUCCCCGCAUCUCUGUUCUAAAUGGACACCCUUCAAUCCUGAAGUCGUGCCCUCUAGUCCCAGACUCCCCUACAAUGGAAAAUAACUUGCCAUAUCUAAUCUGUUCAGGCCUUUUAACAUUCAAAAUGCUUGUAUGAGAUUCCCCCUCAUUCUCCAAGAGCUUCCUCAGAUGGUUUCCCAUCCAAGCAAUUCUUGUCCUAAUGCUACGGUAUUUCCUGCCUAAUGGUAGGGGCUCAAUGAGCUUGUGGGAUGCAUGGGAGGGAUCAGUGACAAUACUAAGUUGUGUCAUCAGCAAACUUGAUCGCUAUGAACUGGAUCUAGCAAUGCAGUCAUGCAUCAGCAGCACGAGCAGCAGUGGGUUUAGCUUGUAGCGGUGGAAAACACUGGUGCUCAGCGUGAUGGAACUAGAGAUGUUUAUACCACUGCAAAUUGACUAUGGUCUUUCUGUCAAGAUAUCCAGGAUCUAGUCACAGGGAUCCUUGAAGCCUGAGGGGACUAUGGAUAGUUCCAGAGAAAUGUUACAGAUGUCUGCUAGAACCUCAAUUAACUGGGUUGCACAGUCCCUCUGCACCCAUGAAGGUACAUUAUCAGGCCCAAAGCUUUACAUGGACUCUGGCUAUUAUCUUCCUCACAUCAGCUGCAGCCAAAUAGAGUGCCUGCUCCUCAGGGGGAAGAGGGGAGGUCUCCCUGCCAGUACAUCACUCCCUACAUCAGUCUGAGAGUAAAGGACAUUCAGCUUGUCAAGAAGAGAAACAUCACUAUCAUUGAGGCGCAGGGUGGAUUUGUAGUCUGUUAUGGCCUCAAUGCCCUGCAGCAUACACCUCAUGUCUCUAGCUAUAGUUAAACCCCGAUUGAACGCAAAUUUGGUUAUAACAGGUUGAGUCAUUGGACUCCAUGUCCAUGUCAAUCCAUACUCCUCUUCUCCAGCCUUGUAUCCCUUUUGCCAAUCAACUUCCCCAGCUCUUGGCUUCAUCGCUCCCCCUCCUGUCUUCUCCUAUCAUUUCAGGUCUCACCCUCCCCCUCCUACUUUCAAAUCUCUUACUAUCUCUUUUUUUCCAUUAGUCCUGAUGAAGGGUCUCGACCAGAUGCUGCAUGGCCUGCUGCAUCCCACCAGCAUUUUGUGAGUCAUUGGACCUUUUUUUAUGCUCAAAAUGGAACAAACUGCUGGAAAAAGAAAAUCUUUUUCUGUGAAAGAUAAGCUUCAAGCAUUUGACACGAUCAAGACUAAAAGUCAAAUUCAAGUUGCACGAGACCUCGGGACACCAGAAUCAACACUUCAUGGCUGGAAAUCUCACGAAGAAAAGUUACGUGCAUUGCUUUGCAAAGUUGAAGAAAAAGCAGGACUAAUAGCCAAAUGCCUGAAGACAGCCCAAAAUGUCAGCCUCGAUGACACCCUGUACGAGUGGUUCAUUCAAGCUCGCUCAAAAGGCCUUCCAAUUUCCGGUCCUAUUCUCAAAGCUCAAGCCAAGAAGUUUGACAAGCAGAUCAAUGGAGAAACUUCACAGUUCAAAGCUAGUGAUGGAUGGCUAGACCGGUUUAAACGCUGUCACAGGAUUUCUCAACUGUUAGUGUCAGGAGAAAUUCGCUCAGCCAACAGUGCUGCCGCCAGCGAAUACCCGGCUGAAUGAAAAACUCUCUUAGAAGAAGGUGGCUACAUGGAAGAACAAGUGUACAACUGUGAUGAAACAUGCCUCAGCAACAAGAUGGUCACAGACCAUACACUGGCUAGCAAAGAUGACGCCCACCGACGUGAGGGGUUCAAACAACAUAAAGAUCCUGUUGGCUGGAGACCCAGGAGGUGGACCACAUAAAAAACCUGCAAUUCAGAAGCAUUCUAGAUUUCUCUCGCAGCCAGCGACAUGCUACAUUCAAGCAAGGAGCACUCAAUCACUUUUUAAAGAAAUAAACUGUAAAUGAUAAUUGCUAAUGUUCUUGAAUGUUUUUAUUUGUUGUUUUGCAUAUUAAAAAGCUUUACUAAAAAUUAAUUUGUGUUUUAAUUUUUACAGUAACAACAAAGUAAACAUGCAAAAAAUAGGUAAAAUAGGGGUGUUUUAGGAUGUUAAGUCAACAUUGGGUCAGUUUGAAUGCUGAUUUUGUUGGACACUGAUAUAGCGCGAUCCUGCUUUUUUCACGAUGACAUCUUAUGGACCCAAACGAUCACGUUAUAACGGGGUUUCACUGUAUAUAUUUUCUGUGAGUAAUCCCUGUCACGAUGUGCACUGCUAAUACCAGAACCCUAAUGCAGAGGGAAAAUAGACUCUGAUUUAGAGAUGGUGAUGUGCGUUUAUUCAUAAUAAUUCCAAAGAAAUAUCAGAGGCUCAGACGAACAAUACCAUGAGAAGUACCAUUCUCAAAACUAGGGCCCUGUGGUUAGCAGUAAUUGGGCAUCCACUUAAAUAAUACAAGUAAUAUGGAAUCUUUGAGCUUAUCAAAAUAAACUUAACAAGCUCACCAAGAGACCACAUUAUAAAGAGCACAUUGCUCAAGGAAAACUCAAGGAACUCUAAAUGAUUAAUGACAAUUGUUAAAUGAUGAUUAACCAGUUCAGGUGCUCUAAAAAUCUUGGAGCCCAGUGCUCUCCAGCACCCUGCACAACAUGAAAAAACUCGUUUGAAACCCCAUUUUGCCUUCUUGAUGGUACAGAAAAGUGCAGCUCUUGCUGACCUGAGAGCUGUCCUAACGGCCAAUCUGAAGGCAGCAUGUCAAUCUCUCAGCAGGAUCUCGAUCUCUGCUGUCAGCCAUGGCUUCUGAUUUUCCCUCACGUGGAUGUGUUUAAAAACAGUUAUGCCCUCAAUGCACUUCUCUAUGUAGCCAACAACAGAUCUUGCAUAUUCAUUGAUGGUAAUGUGAUUUUCAUAGGUAGCCACCGCCCCGAUCACGUUUCAUUCUGAGUUUUCAAAACAGAACUGUAAUACUGAAGUUGCUGCUUCUGGUCAGGUCUUUAUCUCCUUUUGAAAUGAUUUGACAAAGGUUGGUAUGCAGGAAUCAGCAUAACAGAUUUAGGUCAGAGAAUCUCAGGUGGGGACAGGAAGCAGCCUUGUAUGAACAGAGGUGUUGGUUUAAACCACUUUGAUGUGUUCUCAAUCUUGUUGUGGAGAAGCUUGGUAACACACAAGUGGAAGAUGUUAAAGAGGACUGGUGCUAGCACACACCCCUGUCUCACUCUUGUGCGUACAAGGGAGGGCUCGGACUCUUGACCUCCUAUGGUCACCUGAGCAGUCAUCCCAUUCUAAAACUGGCGGAGGAUGCUAACAAAUUUAUUGGGACAGCCAAACCUGAGGAGAACAUCCCAUAGGAGCUCUCUUUGCACAUUGUCAAAUGCUUUGAAGAAGUCAACAAAGGCCAUAAACAGGUCCUGAUGUUGCUCCCGGCAAUUUUACUGAAGCUUCCAGGCUGUGAAGAUCAUGUUGAUUGUGCUCCUGUUCUUCCUAAAUCCACACUGUGAUUAUUGAGGUCGUGAUUACCCAACAUCAGCUGCAGUGGCUGGGGCAUGUGAUAAGGAUGCCCCCAUGUCGGCUACCCCGCAGAGUGUUAUCAGCUCAGGAAGGGUUUGCAAGCCAUUACUUCCUACAAGGCAAAACCUAACAUCAUGCAUGGCUGUGAUGCUUCACUCCCAGAUGAGCUCAACAUCUUUUAUGUAUGCUUUGAAAGGGAGAAUAAAAUGACACCUGUGCCAACCUCUGCAGCAUCUGGUAACCCUGUGAUUUCUCUCUCGGAGGCCGAAGUCAGAACAUCUUUCAAGAGGGUGGACCCUCACAAGGCAGCUCUAAUGCAUGUACCUGGUGGGACAUUGCGCCAAUGUGCUUGCGGCGGUGUUCAAGGUGAUCUUGUGUAAGUAUGUACAAUUUAUACAUUGAUAAUAAAUGUACUUCCUCAAAAACUCUAUAAGAUUGGAUAGACACAACUUAGCAUGCACAUAGCCAUGUUCACUAUCCCUAACCAGUCCCUGCCUAUCCAAACACUCAUAUAUAUUCAUUCCUUUGGAAUACCUUCCAAUAACUAUCCCACUAUUGAUGUCAGGCUCUCUGGCCUACAAUUUCCUGGUAUAUUUUUAGAGCUUUCUUAACAUUACCUACCCUCCAAUCCUCUGGUACCUCACCUGCCCCUAAGGAUGAUUUAAAUAUCUCUGCUGGAGUCCUGCAAUUUCUGCACUUGCCUCACCCAGGGUCCAAGUAAGCACCAUGCUUGUCAGGCCCUGGAGAUUAACCCACCCUAACUUGACUGAAGAUGGCAAUCACUUCCUCCUCAGUAAUCUCUAUAGAGUCCAUGGCCUCACUGCACUUUGCCUCACUUCCGUACACUCUGUGUCCAUCUCUCAAGUAAGCAGAGAUGCAAAAAAUCCUCUUAAGAUAUUCCCCCAUCUCUUAUGGGUUCAUGAAUAGAUUACCACUCUCAUCUUUCAGAGGACCGAUUUUGUCCCUUGCAAUUUUUUUGCCCUAAAUAUAUCUGUAGAAACAAUUAGGAUUUUCCUUCAUCUUGCCUGCUAGGGCAACCUCAUGCCUUCUUUUAGCCCUCCUGAUUUCUUGAGUGUUCUUUUGCAUUUCUUAUACUCCAUUAGUACUCUUUUGUUCCUACCUGCUGUGCCCCUCCUUUUUUUUCUAAACCAGAAUCUCAAUAUCUCUUGAAAACCAAUGCUCCCUAAACCUGUUAUCUUUAACUUUUACUCUGACAGGCAUAUACAAGCUUUGUACUCUCAAAAUUUCAUUUUUGAAAGCCUCCUGUAUACCAACUACACCUUUGCCAAAAAACACCCUGUUCCAAACCACUCUUGCCAGAUCCUUUCUCAUGCCUUCGAAAUUGGCCUUUCUUCAAUUUAGAAUCAAUAAUAUGUAUUGUAAUGUAAUCCUGUCACAAAAUAACAAAUUUUAUUAUGUAUGCCUGUGAUAUUAAAUCUGAUUCUGAAGGUAGGAGGAUGGGGUUAGGACAAGUAAUAAAUAAGUCAUGGUGAAAUUUCAGAGCAACUCCAUGGGCUGAAUGGUUCUUAUGUCUUAUAAUUUUAUGGUCCAUUACACCCUCUCACAACCUUCUUUGUUGCACUAACCCAAGUUCUACACCUAUUCACAUAACUGAAGUUCCCCAUCCCUGUAAGUUUUUUAGUAAUACUUUCCAACAACAUCGCAAAAGCUGCUUCAUCUGUCCUGCAACCCACAAAUGGACAUCACAUUCCAGAGAUGAAGAGGGAAGAUGCGUGUGGAGAGAGCUGGUAGACCACCGGACAAUGUGGACUGGGAUCUGAGGGCCAGAAGGUCGACGAUGCUUGGUAGAGACUGAUGGUGGAAGAAGGACCUACAGAAACUGCUCAAGCUCUGUCAGGUUACAUGGAAAUUGUGAGGGAAUAGCCACAAAUUCUCAAUCGGAUUGAGGUCUGGACUCUGACUUAGCCACUCUAGGCUCAGGACAUUGUAUUCUAGCUCUGAACUCAGAACACUGAUACCUGACCUUCAGCUCAUCAAGCUACAAUGUGCAGUUGCAGAUGUCAGAAACAGGCUGAACUGUGAAGAGAAUUUCAUAGGCAGUAAUUAUGAUAUUUAAAGAAAUACUGAUUUGGCUGGUCCUAUGUGUCUUUGAACGUCUUUAAACUCCAUUUAGAAAUCCGGGGUCAGGAAAUACACAGAUCUGCCUCAAACUACUAAAUUACUUUGGUGGAAGUGAAUGUCAGAAAGCAUAAAGAGAAGAUUCAUUCUUGCUCAAUUUCAAGUUCAUCUUCAUUGCUGCAAUCGGAAUACAUACACAAGGUCUGUUAUAGAGUCAUAGUGAUUACACCUGGAAACGCCCUUUGGCCCAACUCAACCAUGCUGAACUCAACAUGCAGCAGUCAAGCCUGCUGUAAAACUGAAAGCAAAGUGCAUCCACCUCCUCUCAUCAGCAUGACUUUGAUUUGCCAUCAAGCUCACUGACACGUCAAGAAGGAGAUUCAGUGUAACUGGAAUCUGUCCUCCAGGUGAUGAAGAGAGAUGAUACUAGGAAGAAGCAGUCAUAGGAUCCGUAUCAGUGGGAGACCCGUUUGUUCAAGAUGGAUGCAAGUGACAUUCUGAAGUGGUGUGUGCUUUCACAUUGACCGAGAGCCCAGUGCAUGAGUGACAGAGAAGUUCACAAUGAGCUCCAACUCAUGCACAUUGGAUUGUUUAAUUAAAAUGGGCCCUUCUCUUUUAUGUUUUUCUUUACUAACCCUUCAGUUAAUUUAAGAUUCAGAAAUAUAAUUCCUUUAAUCAUGUGCAGUGUACUGUCUGUUAAUUUGUGGCACUAAUUAGCAAAUUAGCAUCUACACAAACCAGUGUUUGGGAUGGCAGAGCUGUCUCAAUCUUAUGGGUUUGGCAGCACUGGAGAGUGUUUCCCAUCGACCUACGCAGCCAAGGAAACCAGGGGGUUUCAUGUAUAUCUAGACCUCCAUAUUCCUGACUUCAGAAC